GAUGAACGCUAGCGGCAGGCUUAACACAUGCAAGUCGAGGGGUAUAGUUCUUCGGAACUAGAGACCGGCGCACGGGUGCGUAACGCGUAUGCAAUCUACCUUUUACAGAGGGAUAGCCCAGAGAAAUUUGGAUUAAUACCUCAUAGUAUGUGAGAAUCGCAUGGUUUUCACAUUAAAGUUCCAACGGUAAAAGAUGAGCAUGCGUCCCAUUAGCUAGAUGGUAAGGUAACGGCUUACCAUGGCGACGAUGGGUAGGGGUCCUGAGAGGGAGAUCCCCCACACUGGUACUGAGACACGGACCAGACUCCUACGGGAGGCAGCAGUGAGGAAUAUUGGACAAUGGGCGCAAGCCUGAUCCAGCCAUGCCGCGUGCAGGAUGACGGUCCUAUGGAUUGUAAACUGCUUUUGUACAGGAAGAAACACUCCCUCGUGUGGGAGCUUGACGGUACUGUAGGAAUAAGGAUCGGCUAAACUCCGUGCCAGCAG
This 486-nucleotide ribosomal RNA is filed under the name uncultured bacterium. Its description in RNAcentral is "bacterial SSU rRNA". It matches the Rfam family "Bacterial small subunit ribosomal RNA", at positions 28 to 514 of the family's 1533-position model. The record is from RNAcentral.